GCCGGCAUAGCUCAGUUGGCCAGAGCACGUGAUUUGUAAUCUCGGGGUCGUGGGUUCGAAUCCCUCUGCCGGCUC
RNAcentral lists this transfer RNA (75 nucleotides) under Capnocytophaga ochracea. RNAcentral describes it as "tRNA-Thr(tgt)". It matches the Rfam family "tRNA". From Rfam's summary of the family: Transfer RNA (tRNA) molecules are approximately 80 nucleotides in length. Their secondary structure includes four short double-helical elements and three loops (D, anti-codon, and T loops). RNAcentral also lists the same sequence under 4 other names. The record is from RNAcentral. Lineage: Bacteria; Pseudomonadati; Bacteroidota; Flavobacteriia; Flavobacteriales; Flavobacteriaceae.